This 62-nucleotide transfer RNA is filed under the name Pelecotoma fennica. Its description in RNAcentral is "tRNA-Arg". Lineage: Eukaryota; Metazoa; Arthropoda; Insecta; Coleoptera; Ripiphoridae. The record is from RNAcentral.
UAAUAAGAAGCAAAAUUUGCAUUUAGUUUCGACCUAAAAAUAUGAUCAAAGAUCCUUAUUUA